GAUGCUAAGGAGAUGGAGAACCAAAAACAAGUAGAUUUAAUUGAAGAACUUUCAUUUGCGGUGUCGUAAUAUGUGAAGUCUUGCUUGAGAAUGCUUCGGAUACUUGGCUGUGGAAGGUAGAAUGGAAAUUUCAACAAGAAAAUCGUAACUCUAAUAGAAUACUAACUAAACUCUAAUUAGACCAUAACAAUGCUAAACAAGCUUUAAUCAAAUUCAAAGAAAUCUAAAAGGAAUUACAAAGAAACAAUAAAAAAUCUUAAAGAAAUAUUAGAAUCAUGACAAAUAUAUUUCAAAUACAUCUCAAUUCAAUCUUAAUUUAAUCUUAGUUGAAAUUCUAUUCGACUUCAUUCAAACUUUAGGCCAAAAACUAACUAAAUCUUAAAUCUUAAAUAAACUCAAAUAAAACCCUAAACCAAAUCCUAAAUCCUAAAUCAAAUCCUAAUCAAAUCCUAAAUCCUAAACCAAAUCUUAAUCUUAAAUCAAAUCUUAACCAAACGCUAACCAAAUCCUAACCCUAAAUCAAAUCCUAAUCAAAUUCUAAAUUUUAAACCAAGUCCUAAUCAAACCUUAAUCCUAAAUCAAAUCCUAACCAAAUCCUAAUCCUAAAUCAAAUCCUAACCAGAUUCUAAUUCUAAAUCAAACCCUAAAUCCUAAAUCAGAUCCUAGUAAUUCCUACAACAUAUUUACACCUUAAUUACUAAUAAAUGAAUCAUUGUAUUUAACUCAAAAUUUUCAAGCUUUUUAACAAUUAAAUUGAUAAGAAGUGCAAAAAAAUUUGAAAAUGAUUAGAAUUAUCAAAUAGACGAUAGCCUCAAAAACGUACUUGGAUAUUGGCUAGCUUCCUUCUCCGACCUUAAUACCACUCUUCAAAAGCCAAUAUUUCUCCUUUUCACCAUUCGAUUGAUCUCAAAAUUCUCAUAUACAUAGAAAAAUAAGUCUAAUAUCUUCUUACAUAAAUUUCACUCCAAUCCAACUAGUAAAUUGCAAGAAAUCAUAAAAACCCUCAUUGGACCUAAAAUUCUACUUUUUGAGACCUUGACCUACUUAAACCUCAAUAACACUCAAUUUAACUAUUAGAUCGAGCUAAGAUUUACAAUACAUAUUAAUCACAACUAUGACCAUUAAUUCACAAAAUUUCAUCCAUAGAUCUAUUACAAAACUCUUGAAAUCACUAGAAAUGUCAAUCUUAUUCUAUUUCACAAAAUCCAAGUCAUCUAAAAACAAUCU
RNAcentral lists this long non-coding RNA (1227 nucleotides) under Physcomitrium patens. RNAcentral's name for it is "long non-coding RNA (PPAT_LNC007055)". Lineage: Eukaryota; Viridiplantae; Streptophyta; Bryopsida; Funariales; Funariaceae. The record is from RNAcentral.